CGGGAGUAAUGGCUUGGGAAUCUAGCUUAUGGAGGGGGAUAACUACGGGAAACUGUAGCUAAUACCGCGUAGUAUCGAGAGAUGAAAGUGUGGGACCUUCGGGCCACAUGCCAUAGGAUGAGCCCAAGUGGGAUUAGGUAGUUGGUGAGGUAAAGGCUCACCAAGCCGACGAUCUCUAGCUGGUCUGAGAGGAUGACCAGCCACACUGGGACUGAGACACGGCCCAG
Molecule: ribosomal RNA, 227 nt
Filed under: uncultured bacterium
Lineage: Bacteria
Description: partial 16S ribosomal RNA
Rfam family: Bacterial small subunit ribosomal RNA
Source: RNAcentral